RNAcentral lists this ribosomal RNA (876 nucleotides) under Dolichoris sp. 1275_01. RNAcentral describes it as "eukaryotic LSU rRNA". It matches the Rfam family "Eukaryotic large subunit ribosomal RNA", at positions 415 to 966 of the family's 3401-position model. Lineage: Eukaryota; Metazoa; Arthropoda; Insecta; Hymenoptera; Agaonidae. The record is from RNAcentral.
GUAAACCUGAGAAACCCAAAAGAUCGAAUGAGGAGAUUCAUCGUCAGCGUGUCGGCUCGCUUGUCGUGCGCGAUGGCGUUACGUUUCGGCGUGGCGUUCACGCGUUGGCAUGUCGUGUCCGAUUAUCGUUAAUGUGCACUUCUCCUCUAGUAGAACGUCGCGACCCGUUGGGUGUCGGCCUACGGUACGGCAAGUUGUAGCCUGUAGCGUCGCGUUCACGCGCGUGCACUGCAGACCGUCGUUAUACCCGGCCGGCUGCCCGGCGGUAUAAGUCAUCGAACCGAUUGACAAUGGUAACGGGCCGCACGAUAUCGAUUAGUGCAUAGCUAAUCGUGUUAAGUGCGUCAGGCUCAUCGGCAGGUCUCCCGUGCACGGAUUUACGAACCUAGUGUCGUAUUCGGAUCGGGUGACCGUUAGUCGAAGAUGUCCUCGGACGGGCUCUCGCGCGUCUUCCAUUGUUUUAUGCGAAGGCGCUUUACCGGUCGGCGACGCUACUGCUUUGGGUACUUUCAGGACCCGUCUUGAAACACGGACCAAGGAGUCUAACAUGUGCGCGAGUCAUUGGGUUAUUGUUAAAUGUGAAUAAGCCUAAAGGCGCAAUGAAAGUGAAAGUCGUCCUAAGCGUCGAUGGAGGGAGGAUGGCCCGGGUUCGCUCGGGUCCGCACUCCCGGGGCGUCUCACGGUCGUUACGACCAGAGGCGCACCCAGAGCGUACACGUUGGGACCCGAAAGAUGGUGAACUAUGCCUGGUCAGGACGAAGUCAGGGGAAACCCUGAUGGAGGUCCGUAGCGAUUCUGACGUGCAAAUCGAUCGUCGGAACUGGGUAUAGGGGCGAAAGACUAAUCGAACCAUCUAGUAGCUGGUUCCCUCCGAAG